UCGUUUUGGACGUUAUUUUUUUUUAUUUGGGGGUGCUUUGGACCCUUCCGGAGCUGUUAGUGAGGGUUUCAAAGAUGUUUUUCUUAUCAAAAUGUGAGUAUCAAUAUGCCAUGAAGGAAUUAUGUUAUUGUAUUAUUUUUGAUGACUUGUGUGAGUGUUUCUAUUUAUUUGAUGUAUGAUCAGUAGUCUCGUGUAUUAGUGUACUAUGUGAAUGUGAAGUGAUAUCAAUAGUUUCAAAGGUAUGGGAAAUAGUUCCAAGAAGGAAAUUCUCAAUGGUGGUUUCAAGUGUGUUAAUAUGAAUGCAGGGAGCUCAGUAUAUGGGGUUAUCCUGACACUCUAAUGGUCAUACAUUCUCAAAUAGAGAGGUUAGACGAAUGUAGUGAGAGUAGCAGGAGGUCCGAGCCUGAGGGACCUUUCUCCAUUUGGCAAAAGGGCGUUUGAGGUCCAACGUUGUGAUGUGUGGUAGGGUGAAACCCAAUUGGCAAGGGUUUUUCAAAGUAGUAGUGGCCACCACAAGUGCACCACCCGCCAUAGCUCGACAUUCAUGCUAAGUUCGGACAGUCCAGUCAAAGUAUUGUCAUGCAUAAUUAGUUUGGUUGGUCUGUGUGAUAUGUGUUUCAUGUGUAUACUUUUUAACAUGUUCUAAUAUAUCAUUAAUUGUUUGUACUUUAGCUUACCCUUGCUUGUGUGCUUUCUAUCUAUGUGUUUUUUUCUCUUUUGCAAUGAUCACCUAAAUGGUGUGAGCUUAGGGAAACAAUCUUUUCAGUUGUUCCAGCGAGAGAUGAGAGUGAAGUAGAUGGGCCGUCAGAUGGUUCUACAAGUGUAGAUAAUUUUUUGUUUUUUUUGUUGGCCAUGUUUUGCACUCAAGCUAUAAAAUCAGCAACUCCCUAUUUUCAUCCAUCUCUAUAUGUUCAAACUCUCUUUUGAAAACUUGUACUCGGACCUGCCUCACGCAGAUAUCUCCUUUGUAUGCCACCUCCAGAAUUUCCCAAGAUUAUUUUGCUGACUUUGUAUUAGUUGUUUUCUCGAACCUCAAUUCAUCCACUGCAUUAUAUAGAAAGUACAAAGUCGAUCUUUCUUUUAGUCGUGUCUUUUUCAAUGCAGCAAAGUCUUAUGUUCAUCAUCUGCGGGUUCAUUGUACCUAUCCUCCAUAAUGUCCUAUAAAUUUUGGGAUCCAAGAAGAACCUUCAUCUGCAAAGACCAAUUGUCAUAAUUGAUCUUUUUUGACAACUGUGGCACUCUCAUUCCGUUGACUACCUUUGUGAUUUCUCUCACAAGACACUUAAGCACCCGAUGUUUUCCUCAUAGUGUUUGACUCCCCCCUCUCUCUCUUUCUUUGACUCCCUA
This 1347-nucleotide long non-coding RNA is filed under the name Vigna radiata. RNAcentral's name for it is "long non-coding RNA (VRAD_LNC002597)". Lineage: Eukaryota; Viridiplantae; Streptophyta; Magnoliopsida; Fabales; Fabaceae. The record is from RNAcentral.